This 1458-nucleotide ribosomal RNA is filed under the name Triticum aestivum (bread wheat). RNAcentral describes it as "partial small subunit ribosomal RNA". The record is from RNAcentral. Lineage: Eukaryota; Viridiplantae; Streptophyta; Magnoliopsida; Poales; Poaceae.
GGGAAGGGGCAGAGGAGGGGAGGGGAGAGGCAGGCCUAGAUAGAUGGAAAGGGGGGAGGGGUGGGGAGGCGGCGGGAGGACCUAAGGGUCGGGUGGCGGCCGGCCGGAAGGACCCACGAGCCAGAGCGGACGCGGUACCUGCUGCGGCCCCUCGGCGCGGACGGGUCCUUCUCCCCGUGGUUCUCCGGGGGAGGGAGCCGCCGCGGCGGCGGCGGGCGGGUCCCGCCGCCGUCCCCCUCCCUGUCCAAGCUCAGCGAGACCGCCCUGAUGGUGCUAAACGAGUUCCACGAGGGUAGAGAGGGGAAGGCGGCAACAACCGGCGGCGGCGGCUGAGCGGCUUGGAGAAGGAUGAGACGUGUGUUCAAGUAGAAUAAUAUGUGAUGUAACAUAGGCACCGGAACAAACAGGGAACAAACCGCCGCAGUGUUAGGCGGCGACAAACUAGAAGAGAUGAUGAUCGUCUAACGAGAAGACAGACUAACGACUAAAUGAUCAGGUCAACCUCCUAACAAUUUAAGCCCUAACUCCUAAGCUAACAUGGCGAUUACAAACCAUUGUUUUCGCCCAAAGUGGCACAGUUACUUAAUCAAAUCAAGCUGGUCAUGCCUGAUUACGGAACCUAUGACAUAUGCAAGAGCUGACCUGAGCCUCGACUGUGAUCAUCGUACCGACUACGUCCUUUGACUCCGUUUCUUCUCCUCCGAUCUCGCGUAUUUGGUCGCUUUCGAACCUGACGAGCGGCUUCAGUUUAAGAACGCCUUCUUCAUGUCAAGCAAACGCUUCCUACUAGGUCUCGUUUGUGUAGUGUCCGAUUUCUUCUUCUUCCGAUUCGUUUAGGGUAGGUAAGACCCUUAGUUACUUCCCGGUAGGUGGUCGUUCUUGUGUUUACACCUGAACUUAGUACUAAGACGUUACUUACGACUCCCUCGGCCAAAGGUCCUGGUAGGUCUUGGACCCUUCGUACUAGUCCGACCACAUCUACUUCUAUAUUACCGGAGGUUAUAGUUGAAUAGUCAAAUAUCCCUAUGUCUUUUAAGGGGUCGGUCACUACUAUUCUCCCGUCGGCGUACCGUUCUGGCCCAUCGGAACGUCCAGAUCAGGGCGACAUCUUUAGGAAGAGACCACCAACUGACGUGGGGACGGACCAAAGCAGUUUAUAAACGGGUCAUGAGACAUUUACUUGUUAACUAUAUUCCUAUGAGUACGAAGUACAAAUGUCAAGUACGGGACAUCUCCGUAUCUGACUCUAUCAAACUGUGUGAAUCUGUUCAAGCUAGGACAAUGUUACAAUACUUUGUAGGUCGGACCUAAAGUCUCAGUGGUAAGAAACGGAUACGAAAAGAAAACUCCGUACAAUACCUACUAAAUCUUCGUUACAAAGACAAAUAAUCAAGUUUAGUUAACACAUCAAGUUUAGUUUACAGAAUAUAUAAAUCUUUGUCUCCGUCAUAUCGUAAA